GACGAACCGUGCGAACGUUGUUCGGAAUCACUGGGCUUAAAGGGCGCGUAGGCGGGCUGCCAAGUCUGGGGUGAAAUCCCACGGCUCAACCGUGGAACGGCCUCAGAUACUGGCGGCCUCGAGGGAGGUAGGGGCGUGCGGAACUGUGCGUGGAGCGGUGAAAUGCGUUGAUAUGCACAGGAACUCCGGUGGCGAAGGCGGCGCGCUGGACCUCUUCUGACGCUGAGGCGCGAAAGCUAGGGGAGCAAACGGG
RNAcentral lists this ribosomal RNA (253 nucleotides) under uncultured bacterium. RNAcentral's name for it is "partial 16S ribosomal RNA". It matches the Rfam family "Bacterial small subunit ribosomal RNA", at positions 524 to 776 of the family's 1533-position model. The record is from RNAcentral.